UGAGGAAUAUUGGGCAAUGCCCGCAAGGGUGACCCAGCAACGCCGCGUGGAGGAUGAAUGUCGUAAGACUGUAAACUCCUGUUAGAGGGGAAGAAUAGUACCGGUUGGACCGGUAUAUGACUGUACCCUCAGAGAAAGCCCCGGCUAACUACGUGCCAGCAGCCGCGGUAAUACGUAGGGGGCAAGCGUUGUCCGGAUUUACUGGGUGUAAAGGGCGCGCAGGCGGGGUAAAAAGUCAGUGGUGAAAUCCUACAGCUUAACUGUAGAACUGCCUUUGAUACUUUUAUUCUUGAGUUCGGGAGAGAGAGACGGAAUUCCAGGUGUAGUGGUGAAAUACGUAGAUAUCUGGAAGAACACCAGUUGCGAAGGCGGUCUCUUGGUCCGACACUGACGCUGAGGCGCGAAAGCGUGGGGAGCAAACA
This 422-nucleotide ribosomal RNA is filed under the name uncultured bacterium. Its description in RNAcentral is "bacterial SSU rRNA". It matches the Rfam family "Bacterial small subunit ribosomal RNA", at positions 355 to 774 of the family's 1533-position model. The record is from RNAcentral.